GGUGCAGUGGCCAAGUGGUAAGGCUUCAGUCUCGUAAACUUAUGAGCAUGGGUUCAACCCCCAUCUGUACCU
Syngnathoides biaculeatus (alligator pipefish) is the source of this 72-nucleotide non-coding RNA. NCBI's taxonomy places the organism in Eukaryota, Metazoa, Chordata, Actinopteri, Syngnathiformes, Syngnathidae. The record is from the annotation of a RefSeq genome assembly.